UAUGGCCAUACCAUGUUGAAAUAUUGGUUCUCAUACAAUCACUGAAGUUAAGCAACAUUGAGCCUGGUCAGUACCUAGAUGGGUGACUGCUUGGGAAUACCAGGUGCUAC
Molecule: non-coding RNA, 110 nt
Organism: Acanthosepion pharaonis
Lineage: Eukaryota; Metazoa; Mollusca; Cephalopoda; Sepiida; Sepiidae
Source: the annotation of a GenBank genome assembly